Molecule: ribosomal RNA, 649 nt
Filed under: Pseudomonas jessenii
Lineage: Bacteria; Pseudomonadati; Pseudomonadota; Gammaproteobacteria; Pseudomonadales; Pseudomonadaceae
Description: bacterial SSU rRNA
Rfam family: Bacterial small subunit ribosomal RNA
Source: RNAcentral
GGAUUCAGCGGCGGACGGGUGAGUAAUGCCUAGGAAUCUGCCUGGUAGUGGGGGACAACGUUUCGAAAGGAACGCUAAUACCGCAUACGUCCUACGGGAGAAAGCAGGGGACCUUCGGGCCUUGCGCUAUCAGAUGAGCCUAGGUCGGAUUAGCUAGUUGGUGAGGUAAUGGCUCACCAAGGCGACGAUCCGUAACUGGUCUGAGAGGAUGAUCAGUCACACUGGAACUGAGACACGGUCCAGACUCCUACGGGAGGCAGCAGUGGGGAAUAUUGGACAAUGGGCGAAAGCCUGAUCCAGCCAUGCCGCGUGUGUGAAGAAGGUCUUCGGAUUGUAAAGCACUUUAAGUUGGGAGGAAGGGCAGUAAGUUAAUACCUUGCUGUUUUGACGUUACCGACAGAAUAAGCACCGGCUAACUCUGUGCCAGCAGCCGCGGUAAUACAGAGGGUGCAAGCGUUAAUCGGAAUUACUGGGCGUAAAGCGCGCGUAGGUGGUUUGUUAAGUUGGAUGUGAAAGCCCCGGGCUCAACCUGGGAACUGCAUUCAAAACUGACAAGCUAGAGUAUGGUAGAGGGUGGUGGAAUUUCCUGUGUAGCGGUGAAAUGCGUAGAUAUAGGAAGGAACACCAGUGGCGAAGGCGACCACCUGGA